AGCCCUCUGGCGGUGAGAUGCAGUAAUGCGCCUUAUUAAGGCAGAAAAUGUCAGCUUUGCAAUUAAACUUUGUAGUAAUGGCGGAUUUGUGAAGUUACCGUCCGGAUCCACCAAACGGACAGCUCGUUUUCAACUUCAUGUGUACCUGGGAGAGAAACCGGGCGCCAUCUUUGGCAGUUUCCAAAGAGUCAGAAGUGUUGCUAAAAUGGAAUAAAAAUGUCGUCAGAAACAGCGUGGAACUCCCCCUGGAUCUUGAAGCCGCGGUGCACGACGAAGGCCGAGCUCAGCACAGAGAACCUGAAUCCAGCCACAUGCAGCUCGCACGCCUGGACAACAAAACAAAAACAGAAACACCAGAAGG
Molecule: long non-coding RNA, 361 nt
Organism: Xiphophorus couchianus (Monterrey platyfish)
Lineage: Eukaryota; Metazoa; Chordata; Actinopteri; Cyprinodontiformes; Poeciliidae
Exons: 3
Source: RefSeq, a predicted model, not a curated record